AAUCACCCCCCACACACACACUAAACAGUAAAACAGGCCCCGCUGCACUAGCGAUUGCUCAUUUACAAAGUGAACAUAAGAUUAGCAUAUCCAAUACUGAGUUUUGUUUCACAAGCAGUUGCAAAAACAUAAUCUCUGGUGCAAUCGUGUAACCUGUGUCAGUGGGCAUUUUCCCUCUGCAGACAGGGUCUGCCUAAUUUGUAUGGUCUGGAGAUUGGGAGCUGAAAAGCAGGCAGGCUGGCUUCUUCUUGCCUCCUUUUCUUUGCUUUUCCUCAUUGCAAACAGAGUUGGCAGGUUUCAGCUUUGUGUUCCCCAUCAUCUUGCAUGUCCUAGAGCUGCUGCAGUGGUGACUACUACUGUUGGAAUCCAUACACGGCCCUUCAAUGUAUCAUAGAAUCUAGUCUUACGGUUUCUGCCACACCAUUAUUGUGGAAUCAUUGUCUGUUGCACCAUUUUGCAACUGUUAUUGACGGGUCUGCCCUCUGUAACAGGGCCUGUCACAGAUUUCAGAUUUUGGCCCUUUAAAUGUCUGGGAACAGGGUGGCUAUUGGCCUGGCAGACCUAAUUGCCAGCCACAUUGCUUCUGAACAUCACUCUGUGCUUUUUCUCCAUAUUAGUUAUUUCCUUCCAUAUCUGUUGCAAGCUCUUCCCACUGUUGCUUCUAUGUUUGGAUCAAGCAAGAAGCUCCAUCCAUUUCAUCCUAUGCAGGGGAGGUAGCAACAGAGACACUGACUCUCACAUGCUUCCUGGUACGUCUUUGAAAUACUGUAAAUACAGAAAGCAUCACAAGACCCUCCUGACGCACAGAUGUCUGGAGUGAAGGACACUUGACUCGAACACAAGCAGCAUAAAAAUGGCCACUCAGACCCAGCAGUUUCUAGAAGGUGGAAAAGGCCAGCAAUGAAGUUUCUGGCAUAAAGACUCAAUGGCAUGCUUCCUGAAGAACAGAGGAAAAUAACAAAAAAAGGACCAGAAGAAAACAGGAAGAUGGGAUUGUCCAAUGCCUGUGUGUUGCAUUUCUAUGUAGCCAUGACGCCAGGGUGUGAACCUCCAGCUUCACUAAAUAUCCAUCUGUCUGGCCUGCCAGAGGAGAAGCUCAAUGGCCAUCGAUCUCACCUGGCUGUUUUUGUCCAGAGGAUGCUCUUAUUUCUUGGCGGAGACUAUGGAGGAUGGGAGAAGAAAGCUGAAGAAGGUACCUCUGUACAUGUGCAUGCAUGUCCACCCCAUCAGACACUCACUUCUUUUGUCCCAGCUUCUCUCAGGUGA
Molecule: long non-coding RNA, 1266 nt
Filed under: Pogona vitticeps (central bearded dragon)
Lineage: Eukaryota; Metazoa; Chordata; Lepidosauria; Squamata; Agamidae
Description: lncRNA (ENSPVIG00000015427.1)
Source: RNAcentral